This 945-nucleotide long non-coding RNA is filed under the name Nicotiana benthamiana. RNAcentral describes it as "long non-coding RNA (NBEN_LNC004011)". The record is from RNAcentral. Lineage: Eukaryota; Viridiplantae; Streptophyta; Magnoliopsida; Solanales; Solanaceae.
UUGUUACUGCACAGCAUAAUGUCCGGCUUGUUAAAUCCUCCCACGUGGUCGUACCUGUCGUAUAUGAAGUGCAGAGUGCAGAAGCCUUUUGCCAAAUCUGGAUUAUGGACUGUCCUAGGUAUCUUUAAUGAAUCUAAAAACCGAUGCACUGUGAUGGCUCUUGGAGUAACUAGAUAUUUUCCUCUUAACGGAACCUCAUCAUUUUUGAUGUACCCGGCUAUUUCCUCCAGAGUCGGUGUGAGCUCAAAAUCUGGGAAGUGGAAGACAUUGUGCGUCGGUCUCAAUAGGUGACCAAUGCUCUUAUAAUAUCACCCCGAGACUUGAUUUCCAAUAAAUGCGUAAGAACUUUCAGAUAUUUCUUAACUUCGUCUUUCCCUUCUUUGCCUAAAUCAUUCCACCAUAGCCGUAACUCGAAUAGGAUGUUAGUCAUUAUUCAGACAGGUUCAUUUUGCAUUGUGCUCAUCCUGCACAUUUAUCAUUCCACCAUAGCCGUAACUCCCAAGGACGAAGAUUUUAAGGUCGUGAGAGUCCACCGGUCAAAAAUCAAAACUGACCAAAAAUGGCCUUUUUGCAAAGUCAGUCUUCCAGAGUCCCUUUCGGGAACAUUCGGCUAUUUAUGACAAUACGACGCUACCCUAACUUAUUUAUGACUCUGUUCUUGUUUUCCGAAUUGAAAUAAGAGAUCCGAUAUUGCAAACAUGGCCUUUCAGUGACUCGGGGAUGAAGAUUUAAGGCUGUGAGGGUCAAAACUAAAACAUGACAAAAGUGGUCGUUUAUCCAAAGUCAGCCUUCCGGCGUCCCUUUCAGGAAUGUUUGGCUAUUUUAACAAAACGGAAACAUCUAACUUAUUUAUGAUAAAAAUUAACAUUUUGACAUUUUUUGCUAUUUUAGAAAAGGGGAGGUUGGACCCGAUGAGGGUUGCCUACGUAUCUCACACCCUGUGAG